Molecule: long non-coding RNA, 22329 nt
Filed under: Triticum aestivum (bread wheat)
Lineage: Eukaryota; Viridiplantae; Streptophyta; Magnoliopsida; Poales; Poaceae
Description: long non-coding RNA (TAES_LNC010956)
Source: RNAcentral
UUUUUUUGGUGUUUCUCUGAUUAAAUAGAUACUUAUGUACCUAGAAAUGAUUUUUGGAAAAAAUAAAUAGCAAACUACGAGGCAGCUGCAGUUCAAAUUUGACCCGCUUCCAGCUGAAUCGGCGUAAAUUUGUCUUUUUCACGAGAGGUGGAUCAAAACUUUUUACACCCAACCAUUUUAUCAAUUGUGCAUUAAAUAUGUCCUAGUAUUUUAGAAAAAUGAUUUGGUCCAAUUUUGCAACAAUUAUUUGGGAGGUCCUUCACAAAAAAACCUCCUUUUGGGCACUCGAAAAAUGGAAAAUGGUUUUUUCGUCCAAAGAAAAUGAAAACUUCCUUAGGCAACAUUGUUUUGCAUUCCAAUAUGCACCCUUGUGCACAAUAUGAGAUCAUUUCUUUUAAUUUUUCAUGUGAAAAAGUAGAAAAUGACCCCCCACCUAAAAACUCAUUUCUCAUAACAAUUUUUAAAAGAUAUUUGUCUUAUUCCAAUUCCAAGUUUGUUAGUUUUCCUAAAAACUAUGUCACAUUUGGUGACACAAUGAGAAUGUUUCUUUUUGAAUUUCUCAUAUCAUAAAAUUGUUUCUAUGAUUCAACACUUUUUUUUGAAAAAAUAUGGUUCAACACCUUAUUUUUAGUCGAUUGCGACCAAUUUAGAAGGUCAUAACGUGUACUGGAUUCUGAUUGGUCCAUGGACAUGUCACGCGGAUCGUGCUCAAACGCCGUCGGAUGCUCUCGGAUCCGACAGCAGCCCUUUCUCCCUCACCCCCUCCCCCUCUUUGUCUCAAAAAAAAGAAAAAAGUAAACUCCCUCACCCUCUCACCCCACGAACCCUAGCGCUCCCUCUCCCUCACGCGCUCCCUCUCCCCUCGUCUCCCACAUCGCCGCCGCCACCCCGCCGAUCCCAUCCCUCCCUAAUUCAGAUCCGACCCCAUUGCCCGCGCCCACGCGCCACUAUGUGCUCCUCCUCGCCUCCCGGAGGACGUCCGCCGCUCUUCCUUCGCCCGUCCCGGAGGCCUCAGUUGGCGCCCUUCGCCGCAGGGCCGCCGCGCUCGUCCCUCCCGCCGCAGGGGACAACAUCCGGCAGCGCCUGUGCCCGUAGCUGCCGGCCAACUACUUCGGCAACGCCAUCGUGCGGGACCUCGUGACGGUGCGCGUGGGGGACGUGCUAUCGCAGCCGCUGGGGUUCGUGGUGGAGCGGAUCAAGCGCGCGGUGGCGCGGGUGGACGACGCGUUCGUGUGCUCCGUCAUCGACUACCUGGAGCUGGAGUCUAUUGGUCCCCCUUCGUCUCAAGGUAGGAACUCCCCGAUUCGACCCCCCUCUCUCUGGAUUUGAUUUGGCGCUGCUUGACGAACCUUCUGUUGGUGCUACGCAGUGCGUGGCCAUGGCUACAUGCCUUCGGUCGCUGGCCACGGGGCUUCUCCAGCCGGCGCGUCCUCUCAGCGAGCGGAUCUUGCACCUCACGCCGAUGGUCUCCGUCGUCCUGGCGGAGGACUGCUACCUUCAGGGCCACUAUGGGUGGUCCCUUCCUUGCUCCAGGACGGCGGGACCGGGCAGGACAAGCACAUCACGUCCGACGUCACCCAGGCAAGCCUCGACCUCUUCCCCUGUACAUCGACUCUGACGGAGACUGAGGUGAGCUGGAUUAAGGGGAGGCUCAUGUGGAGCGGUUGAUUUGAUUCAGCUGAUAGGGUGGACGCCGCUGAUCGAGCUGAGGCAGAUCGCCGGGAAGGAGGGGGUGGGUGCCCGCAUCGUCGGCAAGAUCGAGGCCUACUAGCCCCUCUGCUCCGUCAAGGACCGCAGCGCUCUUACGUACGGUCAGCUCGUUCUAACCAGGCUCGUUCACUUUUACAAAUCUUGGGAUGGUAUCAGUUUAUAGAGCUAGUUUCAUUUCUGCUAGUUGAGCAAUUUGUGAAAAGUCAACGGGGGCUAAAAGGAGCUAAAUUUCCACUUAUGCUAAGAUUAAGGCUUCUUGUAAAGUGUAAACCAUCAUUUUCAUUGUUUGGCUGUAGGGAUUGGUGUGAUGAGGUGGUGAUUUCAAGUAUAUUUUGUUGCACUUCCCAGAAUUUAUUUUGCAACUGUUGGGAAUUAUGAACUUAUGUUGUGCUAUUUCUUCCUGUUUUCUUCAGGAUGAUCGAGGAUGCUGAAGAGAAAGGGCUGAUUUCACCAGGUGUCACGACUCUAGUCGAGCCGACCAGUGGUAAUUUGGGCCUGGGAUUGGUUCUGAUUGCCCUAAGCAAAGGAUAUAGGUUCGUCGCGGUGAUGCCGGGCCAAUACUCGCUUGAUAAGCAGAUCUUGUUGAGAUACAUGGGUGCUGAGUUGUUCAUAACUGGUGAGAUAGAUAGAUAGCAUCAGCAUAGUUGCUUCCUGGCUCAAGGAAGCACAGAUGUUUGCUUGCUUGAUUAGGUCUGAUUGAUUUUCCUUGCAACCGCUGUGAUUUGUAUCUGUAACCUUGUUUCUUUUGUGUAACCACAUGACAGAUCCAACACUUGGGUUCCCAGGAAUAACCGACAAGGUCGAACAGCUCAAGAAAGAAUUACCAAACGUACACGUUCUUAAUCAGUUCUCGAAUCCAGCAAAUCCUGAUGCACACAUCAGAUGGACUGGUACUAGUUUUCCCAUUGUGAAGGAAGGACACGGCGGAAUGUAAGCACAAUCCUUGAGCUUAAUUAUAGGCUCUUGUGCAGCAGCAACCGUUGAUUUCAAUUUCAGCUGAUCAAUCAUCUGUCCUUGUGCAGCACAAGGGUUCCAUGGGGAUACAACAGCAGCAGGACGACCAUGACUCCAUCAAUUGCAAGCUCCAGGUACUAAUCCCACUCAGCUCUCUCCUGUAGCGCAUCCAUUACUCAUACCCUUGCUGCCCCCAAAUCUUGAGCGAUGAGAUAACGUCAUGGAGAGUGGGAUUUUUUGUUUCCUAGCUUAGCAAUUGAGUUAAAGCAAUGUAAUAUAAGUAUGAGCACUCGGCUAUGGUACAACUGUUUGCAUAUUUGUUUUGUAUUUUUUAUAAAUGAUGAUAGUUUGUGCAAGAUGUUCACAUGUUAAUUUUUGUUGACUAAAAUCUCUUAUGCCCUUGACUUAGCUUGACCCAGAACAGAUGCAUACUAACCUUCACCUUGUUCUUUCUCUCGUAGACUCGAAGGAGGCUGUAUGCAAGGCACCAAGGUGCAUGGUGCUCGCAAGCGACGAACGGAGGCUGUUCGACAUCGGCUACACAAACCACUAUUGUGAGCUGUUGGGGAACGCAGUAAUUUAAAAAAAAAAUCCUACGCACACGCAAGAUCAUGGUGAUGCACAACAACGAGAGGGGAGAGUGUUGUCUACGUACCAACGCAGACCGACUGCGGAAGCGAUCACACAACAUAGAGGAAGUAGUCGUACGUCUUCCCGAUCCGACCGAUCCAAGCACCGUUACUCCGGCACCUCUGAGUUCUUAGCACACGUAUAGCUCGAUGACGAUCCCCGGGCUUCGAUCCAGCAAAGCGUCGGGGAAGAGUUCCGUCGGCACGACGGCGUGGUGACGAUCUUGAUGUUCUACCGACGCAGGGCUUCGCCUAAGCACUACAACGAUAUGAUCGAGGUGGAAUAUAGUGGCAGGGGGCACCGCACACGGCUAAGGAACGAUCUCAAGGAUCAACUUGUGUGUCUAGAGGUGCCCCCUGCCCCUGUAUAUAAAGGAGCAAGGGGGGAGAGGUGCGGCCAGCCUUGGGGCGCGCCAGGAGGAGUCCUACUCCUAUUAUUUAGGUCUAAUAUUAAUCCCGAAGGUAGAGGUAGAGGUAGCGUGCCGACCGCGAUCACAUCGACUUUUGGAACCGUUUCCCACGCGCAUCGUCACCUCGUCCUUCGCCAGUGUUCGCUUAAUCCGUAGUCCCUGUUUCGAGUUGCAAAUAUUAGCAACAGAACUAGUAUCAAAUACCCAGGUGCUACUGCGAGCUCUAGUAAGGUACACAUCAAUAACAUGUAUAUCACAUAUACCUUUGUUCACCUUGCCAUCCUUCUUAUCCGCCAAAUACUUGGGGCAGUUCCGCUUCCAGUGACCAGUCUGCUUGCAGUAGAAGCACUCAGUUUCAGGCUUAUGUCCAGACUUGGGUUUCUUCUCCUGAGCAGCAACUUGCUUGCCGUUCUUCUUGAAGUUCCCCUUCUUAUUCCCUUUGCUCUUUUUCUUGAAACUAGUGGUCUUGUUAACCAUCAACACUUGAUGCUCCUUUUUGAUUUCUACCUCCGCAGCUUUCAGCAUUGCGAAGAGCUCGGGAAUAGUCUUGUUCAUCCCUUGCAUAUUAUAGUUCAUCACGAAGCUCUUGUAGCUUGGUGGCAGUGAUUGGAGAAUUCUGUCAAUGACGCAAUCAUCUAGAAGAUUAACUCCCAUGUGAAUCAAGUGAUUGUUAUACCCAGACAUUUUGAGUAUAUGCUCACCGACAGAACUGUUCUCCUCCAUCUUGCAGCUAUAGAACUUAUUGGAGACUUCAUAUCUCUCAAUCCGAGCAUUUGCUUGAAAUAUUAACUUCAACUCCUGGAACAUCUCAUAUGCUCCAUGACGUUCAAAACGUCGUUGAAGUCCCGAUUCUAAGCCGUAAAGCAUGGCACACUGAACUAUCGAGUAGUCAUCAGCUUUGCUCUGCUAGACGUUCAUAACAUCUGGUGUUGCUCCAGCAGCAGGCCUGGCACCCAGCGGUGCUUCCAGGACGUAAUUCUUCUGUGCAGCAAUGAGGAUAAUCCUCAAGUUACGGACCUAGUCUGUGUAAUUGCUACCAUCAUCUUUCAACUUUGCUUUCUCAAGGAACGCAUUAAAAUUCAACGGAACAACAGCACGAGCCAUCUAUCUACAAUCAACAUAAACAAGCAAGAUACUAUCAGGUACUAAGUUCAUGAUAAGUUUAAGUUCAAUUAAUUAAAUUACUUAAGAACUCCCACUUAGAUAGACAUCCCUCUAAUCCUCUAAGUGAUUACAUGAUCCAAAUCAACUAAACCAUAACCGAUCAUCACGUGAGAUGGAGUAGUUUUCAAUGGUGAACAUCGUUAUGUUGAUCAUAUCUACUAUAUGAUUCACACUCGACCUUUCAGUCUCCGUGUUCCGAGGCCAUAUCUGCAUAUGCUAGGCUCGUCAAGUUUAACCUGAGUAUUCUGCAUGUGCAAAAAUGGCUUGCACCCGUUGUAGAUGGACGUAGAGCUUAUCACACCCAAUCAUCACGUGGUGUCUGGGCACGACGAACUUUGGCAACGGUGCAUACUCAGGGAGAACACUUCUUGAUAAUUUAGUGAGAGAUCAUCUUAUAAUGCUACCAUCAAUCAAAGCAAGACAAGAUGCAUAAAAAGAUAAACAUCACAUGCAAUCAAUAUAAGGGAUAUGAUAUGGCCAUCAUCAUCUUGUGCUUGUGGUCUCCAUCUCCGAAGCACCGUCAUGAUCACCAUCGUCACCGGCGCGACACCUUGAUCUCCAUCGUAGCAUCGUUGUCGUCUCGCCAAUCUUAUGCUUCCACGACUAUCACUACCACUUAGUAAUAAAUUAAAGCAUUACAUCGCGAUUGCAUUGCAUACAAUAAAGCGACAACCAUAUGGCUCCUGCCAGUUGCCGAUAACUCGGUUACAAAACAUGAUCAUCUCAUACAAUAAAAUUUAGCAUCAUACCUUGACCAUAUCACAUCACAACAUGCCCUCCAAAAACAAGUUAGACGUCCUCUACUUUGUUGUUGCAAGUUUUACGUGACUGCUACGGGCUUUAAGCAAGAACCAAUCUCACCUACGCAUCAAAACCACAACGAUAGUUUGUCAAAUAGACUCCGUUUUAACCUUCUCAAGGACCGGGCGUAGCCACACUCGGUUCAACUAAAGUUGGAGAGACAGUCGCCCGCAAGCCAUCUAUGUGCAAAGCACGUCGAGGGAACCGGUCUCGCGUAAGUGUACGCGUAAUGUUGGUCCGGGUCGUCUCGUCCAACAAUACCGCUGAACCAAAGUAUGACAUGCUGGUAGGCAGUAUGACUUAUAUCGCCCACAACUCACUUGUGUUCUACUCGUGCAAAUAACAUCAAACCAUAAAACCUAGGCUCGGAUGCCACUGUUGGGGAACGCAGUAAUUUCAAAAAAUUUCCUACGCACACGCAAGAUCAUGGUGAUGCACAACAACGAGAGGGGAGAGUGUUGUCUACGUACCAACGCAGACCGACUGCGGAAGUGAUCACACAACGUAGAGGAAGUAGUCGUACGUCUUCCCAAUCCAACCGAUCCAAGCACCGUUACUCCGGCACCUCCGACAUCUUAGCACACGUACAGCUCGAUGACGAUCCCCGGGCUUCGAUCCAGCAAAGCGUCGGGGAAGAGUUCCGUCAGCACGACGGCGUGGUGACGAUCUUGAUGUUCUACCGACGCAGGGCUUCGCCUAAGCACUACAACGAUAUGAUCGAGGUGGAAUAUAGUGGCAGGGGGCACCGCACACGGCUAAGGAACGAUCUCAAGGAUCAACUUGUGUGUCUAGAGGUGCCCCCUGCCCCUGUAUAUAAAGGAGCAAGGGGGGAGAGGUGCGGCCAGCCUUGGGGCGCGCCAGGAGGAGUCCUACUCCUAUCGGGAGUAGGACUCCCCCCCCCAAAUCCUAGUUGGAAUAGGAUUCAUCAAGGGGGAAAGAGAGAGAGGGGGGCUAGCCACCUCUCCUAGUCCUAAUAGGACUAGGGGAGGGGGGAGGCGCGCGGCCACCAUGGGCUGCCCCCUUCUCCUUUCCACUAAGGCCCACUAUAGCCCAUAUGAUUCCCGGGGGGUUCCGGUAACCUCCCGGUACUCCGGUAAAAUCCCGAUUUCACCCGGAACACUUCCGAUGUCCAAACAUAGGCUUCCAAUAUAUCAAUCUUUAUGUCUCGACCAUUUUGAGACUCCUCGUCAUGUCCGUGAUCACACCCGGGAGUCCGAACAACCUUCGGUACAUCAAAAUGCAUAAACUCAUAAUAACUGUCAUCGUAACGUUAAGCGUGCGGACCCUACGGUUCGAGAACAAUGUAGACAUGACUGAGACACAUCUCCGGUCAAUAACCAAUAGCGGGACCUGGAUGCCCAUAUUGGUUCCUACAUAUUCUACGAAGAUCUUUAUCGCUCAGACCGCAUAACAACAUAUGUUGUUCCCUUUGUCAUCGGUAUGUUACUUGCCCGAGAUUCGAUCGUCGGUAUCCAAUACCUAGUUCAAUCUCGUUACCGGUAAGUCUCUUUACUCGUUCCGUAAUACAUCAUCCCGCAACUAACUCAUUAGUUGCAAUGCUUGCAAGGCUUAAGUGAUGUGCAUUACCGAGAGGGCCCAGAGAUACCUCUCCGACAAUCGGAGUGACAAAUCCUAUUCUCAAAAUAUGCCAACCCAACAUCUACCAUUGGAGACACCUGUAGUACUCCUUUAUAAUCACCCAGUUACGUUGUGACGUUUGGUAGCACCCAAAGUGUUCCUCCGGCAAACGGGAGUUGCAUAAUCUCAUAGUUAUAGGAACAUGUAUAAGUCAUGAAGAAAGCAAUAGCAACAUACUAAACGAUCGGGUGCUAAGCUAAUGGAAUGGGUCAUGUCAAUCAGAUCAUUCAACUAAUGAUGUGACCUCGUUAAUCAAAUAACAACUCUUUGCUCAUGGUUAGGAAACAUAACCAUCUUUGAUUAACGAGCUAGUCUAGUAGAGGCAUACUAGUGACACUCUGUUUGUCUAUGUAUUCACACAUGUAUUAUGUUUCCGGUUAAUACAAUUCUAGCAUGAAUAAUAAACAUUUAUCAUGAUAUAAGGAAAUAAAUGAUAACUUUAUUAUUGCCUCUAGGGCAUAUGUCCUUGGUGAGCUCCUCCCUUUGCUAUGAUACAAUCAUGCUCUGUUUCAUGGGUUAGUUAGGAUUUCGAUGCUUUUUGCGCCGUGGUUGAGUCCUUGCCGAGUGUUGUGUCGAUGAUCAACUACUGGUGCCUAAUCUGGCUAUUUUAUUUGCUGCUGGUAAUUAGUAGUAUUAGAGUGCCGCUGGUUUAUUAGGAUGUGGCUGGAACCAUUGGAUGACUUCCUGUACAUGUUAUACAGAAUUAGUACUUGUCCCAUUUUUUGUUUCCAUGCUGGAUAUGUUAUGGUUCAAGUGUCGAUGAUGUCUAGUAGAUAGUUGGCUAGUUAUUUACCUGCUGCUGAUUGAUGCUCUUGUGGUUAGCAUUAUACUCCUGGAAUCAUAUUAUAUUAUAUUUAGUGUUCUUGUGGUUCUGUGAAGAUGCAUCACAAACAUCUAGGUCAUUGAAGUUGGCUGAAUCUGUUGAUUUAUCAUAUAUUUGGCCCAUAAAUCUACAUUUCUAUGAGAUCUCUUUCAAUAGUCUGUACACUAAACCUGGAGGUUUGCAAAUCUACUCCAGGAAUAAUAGCGACUCUAAUGCUGGUAGCCUAUGUGUUCACUCUUUUACAGGAGCUCCAGGUCUAUGAAAUUUGAAGUUCGAAGCUGUAUAGCCCUACUCAGCAAAGAGCCGUAUAGACUGUAAAUAUUGUAAUAUUGCAAUAGUAGGCAUAUUUGGGUUGUAAUACACUAUGUACAGAUUGUGGUAGACUUAGUUGUAUUUGGUAAACUAUAUUUGUACGACUUAGUUGUAUUUGGUGAACUAUAUUUGUAUUGUUCCGUCUGAAAUAUUGACUAUGUAUGCGAUUUGAAAACGUGUGGAAUGGAAACCUAACUCGUGGGACCCACUUAUGAAAAUAAUUUGAGCAGUUUUGAAAUUUUUGUCAAGUGGGCCCAAUGUGUGAGAUGAUGACAAGUGGGACCAGCUCCAAAAUAUAAUGGCCCAAACAAUGUUAAAAGGCCCCGGCCCAAAAAUAAAUAAAAGGCUGAAAUGGGCUUGGCCCGCUUAACUUACAGAAAAAAUAAAUAUUAAAAAGGCUGAAUUAAUGGGCUCGGCCCAUGUAAAACACCCAAUUGGACCGGGCUGAAUCUUGUGCCACGUCAGAUUGCCACGUUGGAUGCCUACGUGGCCUGGAGAGGUUGCUAGUGACCAAAACGCCAUAGUGGAUGUAUUUUGGUCAUAAACGUUGCGACCAUUCCAGAAGAAAGGUCGCUAUAGUCAGUUUACGACGGCCAGCUUUUGACCUUAUGUUUUUGGUCACAAAAAGGUCAAAAAUGGAAAUUUGUGACCAUUCAGUGACCAAUAGUGGUGGUCACAAGUUGACAUAUUUCUUGUAGUGUAAGUCAUACUGCCUACCAGCAUGUCAUACUUUGGUUCGGCGGUAUUGUUGGAUGAAGCGGCCCGGACCGACAUUACGCAUACGCUUACGCGAGACUGGUUCUACCGCCGUGCUUUGCACACAGGUGGCUGCCGGGUGUCAGUUUCUCCAACUUUAGUUGAACCGAGUGUGGCUACGCCCGGUCCUUGCGAAGGUUAAAACGGCAUCAACUUGACAAACUAUCGUUGUGGUUUUUGAUGCAUAGGUAAGAUUGGUUCUUGCUUAAAGCCCGUAGCAGCCACGUAAAACUUGCAACAACAAAGUAGAGGACGUCUAACUUGUUUUUGCAGGGCAUGUUGUGAUGUGAUAUGGUCAAGACAUGAUGCUAAAUUUUAUUGUAUGAGAUGAUCAUGUUUUGUAACCGAGUUAUCGGCAACUGGCAGGAGCCAUAUGGUUGUCGCUUUAUUGUAUGCAAUGCAAUCGCGAUGUAAUGCUUUACUUUAUCACUAAGCGGUAGCGAUAGUCAUGGAAGCAUAAGAUUGGCGAGACGACAACGAUGCUAUCAUGGAGAUCAAGGUGUCGCGCCGGUGACGAUGGUGAUCAUGACGGUGCUUCGGAGAUGGAGAUCACAAGCACAAGAUGAUGAUGGCCAUAUCAUAUCACUUAUAUUGAUUGCAUGUGAUGUUUAUCUUUUAUGCAUCUUAUCUUGCUUUGAUUGACGGUACCAUUAUAAGAUGAUCUCUCACUAAAUUAUCAAGAAGUGUUCUCCCUGAGUAUGCACCAUUGCCAAAGUUCGUCGUGCCCAGACACCACGUGAUGAUCGGGUGUGAUAAGCUCUACGUCCAUCUACAACGGGUGCAAGCCAGUUUUGCACACGCAGAAUACUCAGGUUAAACUUGACGAGCCUAGCAUAUGCAGAUAUGGCCUCGGAACACGGAGACCGAAAGGUUGAGCGUGAAUCAUAUAGUAGAUAUGAUCAACAUAAUGAUGUUCACCAUUGAAAGCUAAUCCAUUUCACGUGAUGAUCGGUUAUGGUUUAGUUGAUUUGGAUCACGUGAUCACUUAGAGGAUUAGAGGGAUGUCUAUCUAAGUGGGAGUUCUUAAGUAAUAUGAUUAAUUGAACUUAAAUUUAUCAUGAACUUAGUACCUGAUAGUAUCUUGCUUAUGUAUGUUUGAUUGUAGAUAGAUGGCCCGUGCUAUUGUUCCGUUGAAUUUUAAUGCGUUCCUUGAGAAAGCAAAGUUGAAAGAUGAUGGUAGCAAUUACACGGACUGGGUCCGUAACUUGAGGAUUAUCCUCAUUGCUGCACAGAAGAAUUACGUCCUGGAAGCACCGCUGAGUGCCAGGCCUGCUGCUGGAGCAACACCAGAUGUUAUGAACGUCUAGCAGAGCAAAGCUGAUGACUACUCGAUAGUUCAGUGUGCCAUGCUUUACGGCUUAGAAUCGGGACUUCAACGAUGUUUUGAACGUCAUGGAGCAUAUGAGAUGUUCCAGGAGUUGAAGUUAAUAUUUCAAGCAAAUGCCCGGAUUGAGAGAUAUGAAGUCUCCAAUAAGUUCUAUAGCUGCAAGAUGGAGGAGAACAGUUCUGUCAGUGAGCAUAUACUCAAAAUGUCUGGGUAUAAUAAUCACUUGAUUCAGAUGGGAGUUAAUCUUCCAGAUGAUUGCGUCAUUGACAGAAUUCUCCAAUCACUGCCACCAAGCUACAAGAGCUUCGUGAUGAACUAUAAUAUGCAAGGGAUGAACAAGACUAUUCCCGAGCUCUUCGCAAUGCUGAAAGCUGCGGAGGUAGAAAUCAAAAAGGAGCAUCAAGUGUUGAUGGUCAACAAGACCACUAGUUUCAAGAAAAAGGGCAAAGGGAAGAAGAAGGGGAACUUCAAGAAGAACGGCAAGCAAGUUGCUGCUCAAGAGAAGAAACCCAAGUCUGGACCUAAGCCUGAAACUGAGUGCUUCUACUGCAAGCAGACUGGUCACUGGAAGCGGAACUGCCCCAAGUAUUUGGCGGAUAAGAAGGAUGGCAAGGUGAACAAAGGUAUAUGUGAUAUACAUGUUAUUGAUGUGUACCUUACUAGAGCUCGCAGUAGCACCUGGGUAUUUGAUACUGGUUCUGUUGCUAAUAUUUGCAACUCGAAAUAGGGACUAUGGAUUAGGCGAACACUGGCAAAGGACGAGGUGACGAUGCGCGUGGGAAACGGUUCCAAAGUCGAUGUGAUCGCGGUCGGCACGCUACCUCUAUAUCUACCUUCGGGAUUAGUAUUAGACCUAAAUAAUUGUUAUUUGGUGCCAGCGUUAAGCAUGAACAUUAUAUCUAGAUCUUGUUUGAUGCGAGACGGUUAUUCAUUUAAAUCAGAGAAUAAUGGUUGUUCUAUUUAUAUGAGUAACAUCUUUUAUGGUCAUGCACCCUUGAAAAGUGGUCUAUUUCUGAUGAAUCUCGACAGUAGUGAUACACAUAUUCAUAAUGUUGAAACCAAAAGAUGCAGAGUUGAUAAUAAUAGUGCAACUUAUUUGUGGCACUGCCAUUUAGGUCAUACCGGUGUAAAGCGCAUGAAGAAACUCCAUACUGAUGGACUUUUGGAACCACUUGAUUAUGAAUUUACUUGGUACUUGCAAACCGUGCCUCAUGGGCAAGAUGACUAAAACACCGUUCUCCGGUACUAUGGAGAGAGCAACAGAUUUGUUGGAAAUCAUACAUACCGAUGUAUGUGGUCCGAUGAAUAUUGAGGCUCGUGGCGGAUAUCAUUAUUUUCUCACCUUCACGGAUGAUUUGAGCAGAUAUGGGUAUAUCUACUUAAUGAAACACAAGUCUGAAACAUUUGAAAAGUUCAAAGAAUUUCAGAGUGAAGUUGAAAAUCAUCGUAACAAGAAAAUAAAGUUUCUAUGAUCUGAUCGUGGAGGAGAAUAUUUGAGUUACGAGUUUGGUGUACAUCUGAAACAAUGCGGAAUAGUUUCGCAACUCAUGCCACCCGGAACAUUACAGCGUAAUGGUGUGUCCGAACGUAGUAAUCGUACUUUACUAGAUAUGGUGCGUUCUAUGAUGUCUCUUACUGAUUUACCGCAAUCGUUUUGGGGUUAUGCUUUAGAGACGGCCGCAUUCACGUUAAAUAGGGCACCAUCAAAAUCAGUUGAGACGACGCCUUAUGAACUAUGGUUUGGCAAAAAACCAAAGUUGCCGUUUCUUAAAGUUUGGGGCUGCGAUGCUUAUGUGAAAAAGCUUCAACCUGAUAAGCUCGAACCCAAAUCGGAGAAAUGUGUCUUCAUAGGUUACCCAAAGAAGACUGUUGGGUACACCUUCUAUCACAGAUCCGAAGGCAAGACAUUCAUUGCUAAGAAUGGAUCCUUUCUAGAGAAGGAGUUUCUCUCGAAAGAAGUGAGUGGGCGGAAAGUAGAACUUGACGAGGUAACUGUACCUGCUCCCUUAUUGGAAAGUAGUACAUCACAGAAAACUAUUUCUGCGACACCUACACCAGCAAGUGAGGAAGCUAAUGAUAAUGAUCAUGAAACUUCAGGACAAGAUACUACUGAACCUCGUAGAUCAACCAGAGUGAGAUCCGCACCAGAGUGGUACGGUAAUCCUGUUCUGGAAAUCAUGCUGCUAGAUCAUGAUGAACCUACGAACUAUGAAGAAGCGAUGGUGAGCCCAGAUUCCGCAAAAUGGCUUGAAGCCAUGAAAUCUGAGAUGGGAUCCAUGUAUGAGAACAAAGUAUGGACUUUGGUUGACUUGCCCGAUGAUCGGGAAGCAAUUGAGAAUAAAUGGAUCUUCAAGAAGAAGACUGACGCUGACGGUAAUGUUACUGUCUACAAAGCUCGACUUGUUGCAAAAGGUUUUCGACAAGUUCAAGGGGUUGACUACGAUGAGACCUUCUCACCCGUAGCGAUGCUUAAGUCCGUCUGAAUCAUGUUAGCAAUUGCCGCAUUUUAUGAUUAUGAAAUUUGGCAGAUGGAUGUCAAAACUGCAUUCCUGAAUGGAUUUCUGGAAGAAGAAUUGUAUAUGAUGCAACCGGAAGGUUUUGUCGAUCCAAAGGGAGCUAACAAAGUGUGCAAGCUCCGGCGAUCCAUUUAUGGACUGGUGCAAGCCUCUCGGAGUUGGAAUAAACGCUUUGAUAGUGUGAUCAAAGCAUUUGGUUUUGUACAGACUUUCUGAGAAGCCUGUAUUUACAAGAAAGUGAGUGGGAUCUCUGUAGCAUUUCUGAUAUUAUAUGUGGAUGACAUAUUACUGAUGGGAAAUGAUAUAGAAUUUUUGGAUAGCAUAAAGGGAUACUUGAAUAAGAGUUUUUCAAUGAAAGACCUCGGUGAAGCUGCUUACAUAUUAGGCAUAAAGAUCUAUAGAGAUAGAUCAAGACGAUUAAUUGGACUUUCACAAAGCACAUACCUUGACAAGAUUUUGAAGAAGUUCAAAAUGGAUCAAGCAAAGAAAGGGUUCUUGCCUGUGUUACAAGGUGUGAAGUUGAGUCAGACUCAAUGCCCGACCACUGCAGAAGAUAGAGAGAAAAUGAAAGAUGUUCCCUAUGCUUCAGCCAUAGGCUCUAUCAUGUAUGCAAUGUUGUGUACCAGACCUGAUGUGUGCCUUGCUAUAAGUUUAGCAGGGAGGUACCAAAGUAAUCCAGGAGUGGAUCACUAGACAGCGGUCAAGAACAUCCUGAAAUACCUGAAAAGGACUAAGGAUAUGUUUCUCGUAUAUGGAGGUGACAAAGAGCUCAUCGUAAACGGUUACGUUGAUGCAAGCUUUGACACUGAUCCGGACGAUUCUAAAUCGCAAACCGGAUACGUGUUUACAUUAAACGGUGGAGCUGUCAGUUGGUGCAGUUCUAAACAAAGCGUUGUGGCGGGAUCUACAUGUGAAGCGGAGUACAUAGCUGCUUCGGAAGCAGCAAACGAAGGAGUCUGGAUGAAGGAGUUCAUAUCCGAUCUAGGUGUCAUACCUAGUGCAUCGGGUCCAAUGAAAAUCUUUUGUGACAAUACUAGUGCAAUUGCCUUGGCAAAGGAAUCCAGAUUUCACAAGAGAACCAAGCACAUCAAGAGACGCUUCAAUUCCAUCCGGGAUCUAGUCCAGGUGGGAGACAUAGAGAUUUGCAAGAUACAUACGGAUCUGAAUGUUGCAGACCCGUUGACUAAGCCUCUUCCACGAGCAAAACAUGAUCAGCACCAAGGCUCCAUGGGUGUUAGAAUCAUUACUGUGUAAUCUAGAUUAUUGACUCUAGUGCAAGUGGGAGACUGAAGGAAAUAUGCCCUAGAGGCAAUAAUAAAGUUAUUAUUUAUUUCCUUACAUCAUGAUAAAUGUUUAUUAUUCAUGCUAGAAUUGUAUUAACCGGAAACAUAAUACAUGUGUGAAUACAUAGACAAACAGAGUGUCACUAGUAUGCCUCUACUUGACUAGCUCGUUAAUCAAAGAUGGUUGUGUUUCCUAACCAUGAACAAAGAGUUGUUAUUUGAUUAACGAGGUCACAUCAUUAGUUGAAUGAUCUGAUUGACAUGACCCAUUCCAUUAGCUUAGCACCCGAUCGUUUAGUAUGUUGCUAUUGCUUUCUUCAUGACUUAUACAUGUUCCUAUAACUAUGAGAUUAUGCAACUCCCGUUUUCUGGAGGAACACUUUGUGUGCUACCAAACGUCACAACGUAACUGGGUGAUUAUAAAGGUGCUCUACAGGUGUCUCCAAAGGUAGAUGUUGGGUUGGCGUAUUUCGAGAUUAGGAUUUGUAACUCCGAUUGUCGGAGAGGUAUCUCUGGGCCCUCUCGGUAAUGCACAUCAUAUAAGCCUUGCAAGCAUUACAACUAAUGAGUUAGUUGAGAGAUGAUGUAAUACGGAACGAGUAAAGAGACUUGCCGGUGACGAGAUUGAACUAGGUAUUGGAUACUGACGAUCGAAUCUCGGGCAAGUAACAUACCGAUGACAAAGGGAACAACGUAUGUUGUUAUGCGGUCUGACCGAUAAAGAUCUUCGUAGAAUAUGUAGGAGCCAAUAUGGGCAUCCAGGUCCCGCUGUUGGUUAUUGACCGGAGAUUCGUCUCAGUCAUGUCUACAUUGUUCUCGAACCGUAGGGUCCGCACGCUUAACGUUACGGUGACAGUUAUUAUGAGUUUAUGCAUUUUGAUGUACCGAAGUUAGUUCGGAGUCCCGGAUGUGAUCACGGACAUGACGAGGAGUUUCGAAAUGGUCGAGACAUAAAGAUUGGUAUAUUGGACGGCUAUAUUCGGACACCGGAAGUGUUCCGGGUUAUUUCGGAUAAAACCGGAGUGCCGGAGGGGUUACCGGAACCCCCCGGGGAAGCAAUGGGCCUUAUUGGGCCUGAGGGGAGAGAGAGGGCAGCAGCCCAAGAGGUGGCGCGCCCCCCCUCAUGGGGAGUCCGAAUUGGACUAGGAGGGGGGGGGCGGCCCCCCUUUCCCUCUCCCUCUCCCUCUCUUUCCUUCCCCCUCAAGUCUCCUAGUUGGACUAGGAAAGGGGAGUCCUACUCCCACUAGGAGGAGGACUCCCCCUCCCCUUGGCGCGCCCCAUAGGGCCAGCCGGCCUCCCCCUUGCUCCUUUAUAUACGGGGGUAGGGGGGCACCCUAGAACACACAAGUUGAUCCACGUGAUCAUUCCUUAGCCGUGUGCGGUGCCCCCUGCCACCAUAUUCCACCUCGAUCAUAUCGUUGUAGUGCUUAGGCGAAGCCCUGCGUCGGUAGAACAUCAUCAUCGUCACCACGCCGUUGUGCUGACGGAACUCAUCCCCGAAGCUUUGCUGGAUCGGAGCCCAGGGAGCGUCAUCGAGCUGUACGUGUGCUAAGAACUUGGGGGUGCCGGAGUAACGGUGCUUGGAUCGGUCGGAUCGGGAAGACGUACGACUACUUCCUCUACGUUGCGUCAAUGCUUCCGCUUCGGUCUACGAGGGUACGUAGACAACACUCUCCCCUCUCGUUGCUAUGCAUCACCAUGAUCUUGCGUGUGCGUAGGAUUUUUUUUGAAAUUACUACGUUCCCCAACAGUCCAACCUCCGCAGCCGACUCUGAUCGGAGGGAAUCGAGGAUGGCCUGCUACUCCACUUGCAGAUCCCCGUCGCCAGCGUCCCCCACAUCCUCCUUCUCUGGCUCAUCCUCCUCGUCCUCCUCGUCCUCCAGAUCCACCGCAUCUGGAGGUAUCCCCACGGUGAUCCAGGCUUCGCGCCUAGCCCGGAUCUGCUCAAGGAGCUCGAGCCGGCGCUCCAGCGUCAAAAAGGGCUCGCUCCUCACUCGGCGGCGUGGGGGCAUGGCUACUAGGCUGACGGGCGGAGUGGAAAGUGGCGGCGGCGACAGAGAGGAGGAGGAAAAUGUGGAUGGAUGGUAGGGUUUCGGUGCCGCCGGUCGACUUAAAUAGCCGGGCAAUACACUAUGCGACCCGCCGGAGCUACGCCACGCGGUGCCACCGGUCCGACGGAGGAGACGAGCAUCAGAACGCUGGGUUUGAGGGCGUUUCCGGCUGGGACCCCUUCGUUAGUCCGACGUGGCGGGCGUGCCCUGGCGCGCCCGGGCGCCCCCAUAUCUGCCCCAUAUUUGGGCUGGAUAUGGGGGGUGUCGGUCAGCCUAGGCGUUUGAGAACCGUUUGAAGGCCCGUCUGGGUUAAAAAAUCGUGACCGGGCAGCGACCGGGCGGCCUGCCCAGGCGUAUGAGGCGGGUUUGAGAGGUCCAGCUGUAGAUGCUCUUAUGCAACUGCGGAUAAAAUCAAGGAAAACCUAUAACAUACAAAAUUACAUGCAUACAUACUACAAGUUAUAAUAAUUUAUCAAGUACAGGGAGAGUAAUUUUAUGUAAGCUAUGUACCAAAUCAAGAAAAAAUGCAUUUGAUGAGGGUUGAGCUGAACGAUGCUCAUCUAAGACCCAACACAAAGUAUGCAUGUGAUGCAUAUUAAUUGGUGAAUCCAUAAACAUGGAUGACAUAUUUGGCGAUAGAAUAACUAGUAAGCAAGCAAUAUAACAGUCAUAGGACAAACCAUGCAUAUAUUUUUAUAUUCUAGAACUAACUCCCUGCAAAACAAAUAUGCAGAUAAUUCUCUGGUUUACUUAUUUGCACCCCAAAAAUAAAGCAUGAUUCUAGAAACAUCGAUAGACUUUCUAGAUCUCUGUCAUGGUAUCUAAGUAAACUAAAAUAGGCAUAAAUACUAACAUAUAUUUGUAUUCAUUCAAGUGGCACAAAUUAGUAUUUGGUCUGAUGUUUGUUGUUAGACAAAAAAAGAAUAAUAAAUCAAGUGUUUUGAACAAAAACCAUAUUGUAUUCCUUUUACUUAAUGCUUCAAAUUAAGUGUAAUUAAAUUUCUCAUGAAUGAUAUUAAGAUUGUAUAAUAUUACUUUCUUAUAUAUUUAAUUAUGUCAUUAAAUAGUUGUUAUUGCAAUAAAAUUAGCAAGUCAAGAUAAUUUAUCAAAAUUAGUUAGUAUCAUAUGUUGAAAAGGAUAAUUUGUGAUUGUAAAGAUAAAAUAGUUUAGUCUAAAUAACACACCGCUUCAAACCAAAGUCAAGCAUUGCGUAUAAGUUAAAAUAACCAUUGUACUAAUUGAAAAAAUUAAUAUGAUUAGUUAAAUAAAAUAUUAGUGUAUAGGUAAAAACUUAAUUUUUUAAGUCGAUUAUGUGUUCCAGCAACAAUUCUAAUGAGUGGUUCCAUAGAGAAAGCCCGAGUUGAUUUUGAUCUAAGUUUCAUGAGUACAAAGGUGCUUAAUUGGAAAUAGAUAACUAAUUAUCGGUAGCAGUGAGACUUUAUUUUAAAUGAAUAUUAAAGGAGAAAUUAAAUAUAUGGUUGAGAAUAAGUAUGUAUAUAUAGUUUUGAUAUUUAUUAUUGGAUAUUUUAAACAAAAUAGAGAAUUUUGGUAGAGUGCAAAGUUAGUCGUCGGCUGUAGGACUGAUCAUCUGGCGGCUUACAGGGUUUGCAGAAUAGUGUUUGUACAAAAUAGAUCUUAUGUAUGCAUGCAUUUAUUUCUACACCAGGAGUGCAUUGCACACACGAUGAAUAGUAAAAUCAAAACAAAUAACAAAAAAGAAACAUUUUUAAACAUGCUAAUUUAUGACCAAUUGUUCAAACAAUGACUUUGGAUCUCAUGGGUCAAGUUCAUCAUUUAAGCUUAACUGAAGAGACUAUGCGUCAAAAUAUCACUCUGUGUAUGCCACAGGAUAAAGUACAUCCAAAAGGCUAGAGGUGUAGUGCACAACAAAUAUAGGUUAUGGAUAGAGUGUUUUUACCUUAUCUCUUGCCGUGACCUAGGUGGACUCCUCAAAAUGAUGUUUCUCAUGAUUUGCGUGAGAAAGAAAACAUCUAGACUUUGGUCAUGGGAGGAGUAUCUCUAACUAUUGGGGAACGUAGUAUUUCAAAAAAAAUACGAUCAAGGAAGAUCUAUCUAGGAGAAGCAUAGCAACGAGCGGGGAGAGUGUGUCCAUGUACCCUCAUAGACCGAAAGCGGAAGCGUUUAGUAACGCGAUUGAUGUAGUCGAACGUCUUCAUGAUCCAACCAAUCCAAGUACCGAACGUACGGCACCUCCGUGUUAAGCACACGUUCAGCACGAUGACGUAUCUCGAGCUCUUGAUCCAGUUGAGGAUGAGGAAGAGUUCUGUCAGCAUGACGGCGUGGCGACGGUGAUGAUGAAGUUACCGGCGCAGGGCUUCGCCUAAGCACUACGACGAUAUGACUGAGGUGUUAACUGUGGAGGGGGCGCCACACAUGGCUAGGAACAAUUGAUGUGUGUUCUAGGGGUGCCCUGCCGACGUAUAUAAAGGAGGGAUAGGGAGGGAGGCAGCCUAGGGCGCGAGGCCCCUAGUCCAAUUGGCCCCCCUACCAUAUUUGGACAAGGGGGAAAGGAAGGAGGGGGGAGGGGAAGGAAGUAGAGCCCUACUUCAUACUUUCCUUUUCCUCCUCUCUUUUUUCCUUUCGCCCCACGUGGUCGGCCCUAUAGGGGGCGCACCAGCCCCUUGUGGGCUGAUGUGUUCCCUUACUUGGCCCAUUAAGCCCAUAUCUUUGCCGGGGGUUUCCUGGAACCCCUUCCGGUGUCCAAAUACCAUCGUCGUAUAUAUGAAUCUUUACCUCUCGACCAUUUCGAGACUCCUCGUCAUGUCCAUGAUCUCAUAUGGGACUCCGGACAAACUUCGGUCAUCAAAUCACAUAACUCAUAAUACACAUCAUCAUCGAACGUUAAGCGUGCGGACCCUACGGGUUCAAGAACUAUGUAGACAUGACCGAGACACAUCUCCGGUCAAUAACCAAUAGCGGAACCUGGAUGAUCAUAUUGGCUCCUACAUAUUCUACGAAGAUCUUUAUCGGUCAAACCGCAUAACAACAUACAUCAUUCCCUUUGUCAUCGUUAUGUUACUUCCCCGAGAUUCGAUCGUCAGUAUCAUCAUACCUAGUUUAAUCUCGUUACUGGCAAGUCUCUUUACUCGUUCCGUAAUGCAUCAUCCUGCAACUAACUCAUUAGUCACAUUGCUUGCAAGGCUUAUAGUGAUGUGCAUUACCGAGAGGGCCCAGAGAUACCUCUCUGAUACACGGAGUGACAAAUCCUAAUCUCGAUCUAUGCCAACCCAACAAACACCUUCGGAGACACCUGUAGAGCAUCUUUAAAAUCACCCAGUUACGUUGUAACGUUUGAUAGCACACAAGGUGUUCCUCCGGUAUUCGGGAGUUGCAUAAUCUCAUAGUCAGAGGAACAUGUAUAAGUCAUGAAGAAAGCAAUAGCAAAAAAAACUCAACGAUCAUAAUGCUAAGCUAACGAAUGGGUCUUGUCCAUCACAUCAUUCUCUAAUGAUGUGAUCCCGUUCAUCAAAUGACAACACAUGUCUAUGGUCAGGAAACUUAACCAUCUUUGAUUAACGAGCUAGUCUAGUAGACAAUACUAGGGACACUUUAUUUUGUCUAUGUAUUUACACAUGUAUCAAGUUUCCGGUUAAUACAAUUCUAGCAUGAAUAAUAAACAUUUAUCAUGAUAUAAGGAAAUAAAAUAAUAACUUUAUUAUUGCCUCUAGGGCAUAUUUCACUAACAUGUAUGUGUCACAUUUUCUUGGGUACCCAAACUAUCUUGUUACUAGUAGCAACAAGGGUUUUGCGUGGAGUUGGAGUAGUCGAAGUGGUAGGGUGGUGCUAGACAACCCAUUUCUUUUCGGGUGCCAUCACAAUUGUUCAACCUUGAUUGUAGUUGGUUGGUUCUUAUUUGCCCUGUACAACUUGAUCGUAUUGUUGUAGCCGCGAGGAGUGUGAACAUUAUUUCCACAUGUACUUUGCAAUUGAAUGAAUCACAUCUAUUCACUAGUAGUACAAACUAAGUCUUGGGGUAUCAGUGAGCUUCUCAUGCAAUACCAUUAGCAUGAUAUUGACGAACAAACCCAACACUUCAUUAUUAGGACUUGACCUUGUUUACGUCAUGUCCAAUUGAACUUGUUGGUACCUUCCACACUUUUGUAGAUUCAUUGACUAAUGAUUUCCUUUAACCUAGCGUAACUUUUCUCAAGAAGUUCUUGGCUAGACAUGCGGUUAGAGGAACUCAUACUAACAUGAACAUUUGAGGAAGCAACAUGGAUGAUAAGGCAAUAGCAGUAAUCGCAUUGAUGGACUUGUAAGUAGGAUCAGGGUCAUUUGAAGUGACCUUAGUUGACACUUAUGGUGAAAUGAGAGACUCCCUAAGGUGUAUAUAAAUGCGAGCAACAUUCUUCUUCUUAAGAUUGGCAUAGAGAUCUUUGAGACACUCAUGAUUGAGCUUAAAGCAUUCAUCUCAAGGCAUAACCUCUCACGAGACACUCGAAGUUCUCUAUGAUGUUUAGAAAGAGUCUCAUGCACUUAUGUUUAUAAAUGGACGGAGUACUUUGUGUUCAUUUUCCUUCUUUGAAGUUGUAAUUUCUUGAUGAAAUGUACUCCCAUGUGGUUAAUAAAUUAAAGUAAUGGGAGUCUUGUAGGCACAUGACUAGGGCCUAUGCUUUAUUUUGUUCCAGACUCCCGGUUUCUCAUGAAUGGCCUCACAACAAAAUUCUUUGUUCGGACAACCGUCAUGUUGAAAAAUAUAUUUUCCUACAUGUAUACAAAUGUAAAUACCGGUGCACCAAAAAUUUAUAUUUAUCUGGUGCCGACAUGUGGUUGUUUAAUUCUAUAUAACUAAAGAUCUAAAUAGAUGAUUCACACUGAAACUAUUUUUUUCAACAUGCAAACAUACAUGGUUCCAUUCUGUUGUGCUAUUGUUUUUUUAGAAUUUAUACUGCAUAUUUUUUAAUUGACGCCGCUUAUGUUCUAUAUUUUAUUACUAUAUAUAAUCAAGUGCAAUAAAUGAUAUAGACUUUAAUUUUUAAUUAUCAUACUAAUAAUUUAAAUAUUCAUGUUAAAAUAUACUGCUGCCGUUGCUCGUAAUAAUAUGUGAGGUAACAUGUAGGUUUUUUAGAUUAAUCAUAUAGUUAUUUUUAAAGAGACGGGCUACCAGCUUCUAAAGCAUGGUAUGGAAGAUAUUUGCUCCUUCUAUUUCCUUACAAAUAAUAAGAAUGAACUGAGAAACUUGAGCAUCCUCCAUUGCUCUUGCUCUAUUCUAUGAACUCACAGGAGAACACGUGGUUUUACCCUCGCUCACAUUGUUCCCUGUAUGUAGGCAAAGUAUGAGUAGCGGUCACCGAAUACGCAACGGAAACUUAUCUAUGCGUUUUUCAUCCCUGAAAGCCACACGAUACUCAAGAAUCAAAGUAACUGCACAAGAAAUUAGGCCACCACAUUUUCUUUAUGAAAGGCAACAGAAAAUUUACAAGAGAACCUGUCAGCAUUGCAAACAAAACAAUGCAACAGGUCAAUAACACACCAUACAAAAACAGAUUACUCGCUCAAAGCUAUAUUACGCGUUACUGAACUGAACGUUGCUGCUCCGCACUACCGAGUACCCCGGCACAUAGCUAACGUCACCAUGGCACAUGAUCCCACAUGUCAUUGAUACAGCAAAGAUGCAAGAGUUGGAGAAUAUCAUACUCUGUUAUCCAUACCAUCCAUACCAGGCAACACCAUUAUAUCCUUCAGACAAAGUACCUGCCACACCCUCCUUUAAUUUAAGAUUAAAUAGACCCCUUCUACAGCUCUAACCAGCAAUAAUAUCGAUAAUCCAGCACACCGCAAAAGAAGAAUUCAGCAGAAAAUGGUUUAUAGCCUCAGCAGCAACAACAUCUCUAAGCUGCCAACUAGGUACUGUAUGUAGGAGUGUCUGAUAACAUGAUGCAUUCUCAAAAGAUGACCAGGUUCAACUACCCAACCAACUACAGCGGACACGGU